AGAGCAACGACGCAGGUAGCAACGCUAGUUGAUAGAUUAACCUUUUGCCGUAUCCAGUCGGCAAAACUC
Long non-coding RNA from Etheostoma spectabile (orangethroat darter), 69 nucleotides. RefSeq lists it as uncharacterized. The record is from RefSeq and is a predicted model, not a curated record. Lineage: Eukaryota; Metazoa; Chordata; Actinopteri; Perciformes; Percidae. The transcript has 3 exons.